Molecule: long non-coding RNA, 318 nt
Filed under: Salmo salar (Atlantic salmon)
Lineage: Eukaryota; Metazoa; Chordata; Actinopteri; Salmoniformes; Salmonidae
Description: lncRNA (ENSSSAG00000088244.1)
Source: RNAcentral
AGGUUAGCUCUGUAAAGUUGGUCGUUGGGUUAGGGUUAGGGUUAGGGUUAGCUCUGUAAAGUUGGUCAUUGGGUUAGGGUUAGGGUUAGCUCUGUAAAGUUGGUCGUUGGGUUAGGGUUAGGGUUAGCUCUGUAAAGUUGGUCGUUGGGUUAGGGUUAGGGUUAGGGUUAGCUCUGUAAAGUUGGUCGUUGGGUUAGGGUUAGGGUUAGGGUUAGCUCUGUAAAGUUGGUCGUUGGGUUAGGGUUAGGGUUAGGGUUAGGGUUAGCUCUGUAAAGUUGGUCGUUGGGUUAGGGUUAGGGUUAGGGUUAGCUCUGUAAA